GUAGGAAUAUUGAGAAGGGCUGUCCCUAGUACGAGAGGACCGGGACGGACGAACCUCUGGUGUGCCAGUUGUUCUGCCAAGGGCAUGGCUGGUUGGCUACGUUCGGAAAGGAUAACCGCUGAAAGCAUCUAAGCGGGAAGCCUGCUUCGAGAUGAGUAUUCCCACCAACUUGAUUGGUUAAGGCUCCCAGUAGACGACUGGGUUGAUAGGCCAGAUGUGGAAGCCCGGUAACGGGUGGAGCUGACUGGUACUAAUAGGCCGAGGGCUUGUCCUCAGUUG
This 279-nucleotide ribosomal RNA is filed under the name Streptomyces sp. SID4920. RNAcentral describes it as "partial 23S ribosomal RNA". It matches the Rfam family "Bacterial large subunit ribosomal RNA", at positions 2653 to 2925 of the family's 2925-position model. Lineage: Bacteria; Bacillati; Actinomycetota; Actinomycetes; Kitasatosporales; Streptomycetaceae. The record is from RNAcentral.